UAGACUUUGUCCCCUGCUCAGUCUC
Molecule: non-coding RNA, 25 nt
Filed under: Rattus norvegicus (Norway rat)
Lineage: Eukaryota; Metazoa; Chordata; Mammalia; Rodentia; Muridae
Source: RNAcentral